AGAAUCAUUCACAAUGGGGGAAACCCUGAUGCAGCGACGCCGCGUGAGUGAAGAAGUAUUUCGGUAUGUAAAGCUCUAUCAGCAGGAAAGAAAAUGACGGUACCUGACUAAGAAGCCUCGUCUAACUAUGUGCCAGCAGCCGCGGUAAUACGUAGGGGGCAAGCGUUAUCCGGAUUUACUGGGUGUAAAGGGAGCGUAGACGGUGAAGCAAGUCUGAAGUGAAAGGCGGGGGCUCAACCCCCGGACUGCUUUGGAAACUGUUUGACUGGAGUGCAGGAGAGGUAAGUGGAAUUCCUAGUGUAGCGGUGAAAUGCGUAGAUAUUAGGAGGAACACCAGUGGCGAAGGCGGCUUACUGGACUGUAACUGACGUUGAGGCUCGAAAGCGUGGGGAGCAAACA
Molecule: ribosomal RNA, 399 nt
Filed under: uncultured bacterium
Lineage: Bacteria
Description: bacterial SSU rRNA
Rfam family: Bacterial small subunit ribosomal RNA
Source: RNAcentral